RNAcentral lists this ribosomal RNA (492 nucleotides) under uncultured bacterium. RNAcentral's name for it is "partial 16S ribosomal RNA". It matches the Rfam family "Bacterial small subunit ribosomal RNA", at positions 29 to 507 of the family's 1533-position model. The record is from RNAcentral.
AGUGAACGCUGGCGGUAGGCCUAACACAUGCCAGUCGAACGGCAGCACAGUAAGAGCUUGCUCUUACGGGUGGCGAGUGGCGGACGGGUGAGGAAUACAUCGGAAUCUACUUUUUCGUGGGGGAUAACGUAGGGAAACUUACGCUAAUACCGCAUACGACCUACGGGUGAAAGCAGGGGAUCUUCGGACCUUGCGCGAUUGAAUGAGCCGAUGUCGGAUUAGCUAGUUGGCGGGGUAAAGGCCCACCAAGGGGACGAUCCGUAGCUGGUCUGAGAGGAUGAUCAGCCACACUGGAACUGAGACACGGUCCAGACUCCUACGGGAGGCAGCAGUGGGGAAUAUUGGACAAUGGGCGCAAGCCUGAUCCAGCCAUACCGCGUGGGUGAAGAAGGCCUUCGGGUUGUAAAGCCCUUUUGUUGGGAAAGAAAAGCAGCAGGUUAAUACCCCGCUGUUCUGACGGUACCCAAAGAAUAAGCACCGGCUAACUUCGUG